The sequence is a ribosomal RNA, 730 nucleotides long. It matches the Rfam family "Bacterial small subunit ribosomal RNA", at positions 293 to 1398 of the family's 1533-position model.
CCAGAGAAAGAGGAGCCGGUAUCAGGCUCAAUAUGCCCAUGACACCUAGCCUCGCCACACCCCCAAGGGUAUUCAGCAGUGAUCAACAUUGUAAACUAGCGAAAGCUAAAUUCAGUUACUAGCUAUAAAGACCGGUCAAUCUCGUGCCAGCCACCGCGGUUAUACGGGCAGGUUUAAAUUGAUAACAUCGGCACAAAGCGUGGUUAAACUCUCACCUUAAUAAAGCAAAAAUUAAGCCCGGCUGUGAUAUGCUUUCGCUUUAAAUAACCUCAAUCACGAAAGUAGCUUUAACUCUUAUUGAACCCACGAUCGCUAGGGCACAAACUGGGAUUAGAUACCCCACUAUGCCUAGCCCUAAACUUUGAUUACUCCGCCUGGGAACUACGAGCGUCAGCUUAAAACCCAAAAGACUUGGCGGUGCCCUAUACCACCUAGAGGAGCCUGUUCUAUAAUCGAUAAUCCCCGAUUCACCUCACCACCUCUUGCCAAUACCGCCUGUAUACCUCCGUCGCCAACUGACCCCUUAAGGGAAAUAGUCGGUUAAAUGGCCUUCUUCCAGUAAGUCAGGUCAAGGUGCAGCGAAUGAGAUGGGAAGAAAUGGGCUACAUUUUCUACUAAUAGACUAUACGAAAAAUCACUAUGAAAUCUGAUUGGAAGGUGGAUUUAGCAGUAAAAAGAGACUAGAGCGCUCUUUUUAAGUAGGCUCUAGGGCGCGCACACACCGCCCGUC